UGCUUCUAAAUAUGCAUAAGUUUCAGUGUCAGUUCACCGCCUUCGGUCCCGCCCGCUCUUUUACAUCUGAAUGGCGCGUUAAUUUCCCCUGGUGAGUUAAUUGGUGGACCCCCGGGAUUUUUUCCAAGCCAAUGGCCUCCAGCAAACAAAGGACAAGCCAAGACUUAGUCAAGAUUUUUGUGCUGUUCUAUGACCCAAAGGAAGGGAAGUUAUGGCCGCAGAAUGACUGGAUAUGGAUUUUUAGACGAUGGUGAAGUAAGCAGGGACCAUAGGAGUGUUUGGUGGAGUUGGAAUGUCAGUGUUCAGCAUGGUGCUGCUGCUACUGGCUGGAGUGGAGAUGCAGCUGCUACUGGCUGGAGUGGAG
This is a long non-coding RNA of Branchiostoma belcheri (Belcher's lancelet), 364 nucleotides long. RefSeq lists it as uncharacterized. The record is from RefSeq and is a predicted model, not a curated record. The transcript is spliced from 3 exons. Lineage: Eukaryota; Metazoa; Chordata; Leptocardii; Amphioxiformes; Branchiostomatidae.